Molecule: long non-coding RNA, 1687 nt
Organism: Gallus gallus (chicken)
Lineage: Eukaryota; Metazoa; Chordata; Aves; Galliformes; Phasianidae
Source: Ensembl
UUUUCUUGGAUGAAGGCUGGUUCCUGUGAAGGAGUGUUGUGUAGCUAGAGAUCCUAUCGCUAGUUGGCUUUGUGGCAGUGCAAAAACUGUCACAAACACAUUCAAAGAUGAAAGGCUUCAUCAGUGCACUGUCACAAAGCAACGAGUGUCAAUUGUUGUUUGCUGGUACCAGAUCAGAUUCCUCGGCCCAGAAUAGAAGGAUAUACUGGACUUUGCUUCUGCAAACAGGAGGAGCAAGUAACAAAUGACUAUAGAAGUUGAAGUUAAUACUUCAUUAUUUGAGAGAAUGGCCUUUCCUUAAAAUGAUCUCGAAGUAGUUCCUUGUGCUUCAUUUGGUUCUACUCAUAUCAAAUCAUGUCUUUGUUUUCUGUCCAAGUGCUGUUGUACAGAACUUAUUUCUAAAGAACUUAGUGAAAAAAUUAUAGGUAUGCUACCUUUAUGUUAGUGAGGUGUACUUAUAUUCUUAUAUAUCAACAAAAUAUGUGGAAAUGUAAAAAUUCCUGGGUAUGCUGAAGCUUCUUCCUGGAGGAAAAUAAAAGUGAGGAUAUUGUUGUCCCCUGCAAAUAGGCUUCCCUCUCUCCUCCAUCCUAUUUAUGUUCUUGUUUAUUUUGCAGGAAUUGUGUUUUUGAGACAGAUCUCAGAAAAGACUUGGCUAUUUAGAAUUUUUUUAAUAGUGUAUAGUCAUGAUUAAAUCUUGAUACAACUACAAUUAUUACUUGGCAAGCAGUAAAAACUCUGAAAGAAAAUUCAUUUUCAGUAAUGCUUAAAAUGAAUGUCUGAAUAACAUUUUUUUAAUAACGGAAUUCCUUACCAGGUCUUCCUUUUGUGUAUGAACACCUAUAUAAUAUUAGAAUGUCUGUGUGAAGUUGUGGCCAUCUACUUUGUGGUUAUGCUACAGCUAAGAACAAAAUGUGCUACUGAGCUGAAAAAUGCAGUUAACCCAAUCAACAGGUUUUCAUCAAAUAUGUGUACCCCUUAUCUAAAUUAAGUAGUAUUAUCAUUACAGAAGACUAGAUCUUAGCUCUCUGUUCAGUAAUUCACUAAGGUGUAUAUUACAUCUCAGUAAGUGACUGUAUGAUAAGCCAGCUAUCCAAAGGUUUCUUUUGGCUCUGUUCUCAGUAUCUCAAUACAAGUUUAGAAUAUUGAUGUUGAAUGAUGACUUGUGGGGUUAUAAAUAUUGGAUGCUAAUAAACUUUCUGUCAAUUACAUCUUACGUCUUAAGAAUGCCCUGGAAUUGAACAAAUAUUAUUCAAGGUUGUCAGAACUUCAUUCAAUCUUGGGAGGGGAGGGCGGAAUUGAGAAAGAUGUAGAAAAAGGUAGACUGGAAGAACUUGCCUGGCGAUAGUUGGUAAGUCAUGGAGAUUCUGCAGUUGUUGACUGACAUUUUUCUUCCAAUGUACAUGCAUGCACAUGUGCACUGUAAGAGUCAUCAUUCAAGUAGAAUGCAACAAAGUGCAAACCUGAAUCUCUGAUAUUCAAAGUAGUAAGGGCAGUACAAUAGGAAUAUAAAAUACUUUAAAACACACUGUUUAGUGAGAACAUUGGUUCAUGUUUCCUUAAAGUCUUCAAAAGUAAAGAAUAUCAAGCUGAAUUCUGUGAUAGCACAUAAUAAAUGUUGAGCUACAUUCAAAAGAUCAGAUCUUAUUCUGUUUUCCUCCAAUUACAAAAUUAAAAGUGAGUUCAAGAU